AUUGAACGCUGGCGGCAUGCUUUACACAUGCAAGUCGAACGGUAACAGCACUUCGGUGGCUGACGAGUGGCGAACGGGUGAGUAAUACAUCGGAACGUGCCUAGUAGUGGGGGAUAACUACUCGAAAGAGUAGCUAAUACCGCAUGAGAUCUAAGGAUGAAAGCAGGGGACCUUCGGGCCUUGCGCUACUAGAGCGGCUGAUGGCAGAUUAGGUAGUUGGUGGGAUAAAAGCUUACCAAGCCGACGAUCUGUAGCUGGUCUGAGAGGACGACCAGCCACACUGGGACUGAGACACGGCCCAGACUCCUACGGGAGGCAGCAGUGGGGAAUUUUGGACAAUGGGCGCAAGCCCGAUCCAGCAAUGCCGCGUGCAGGAUGAAGGCCUUCGGGUUGUAAACUGCUUUUGUACGGAACGAAAAGCCCUCUUCUAAUACAGGAGGGUCAUGACGGUACCGUAAGAAUAAGCACCGGCUAACUACGUG
RNAcentral lists this ribosomal RNA (482 nucleotides) under uncultured bacterium. Its description in RNAcentral is "partial 16S ribosomal RNA". It matches the Rfam family "Bacterial small subunit ribosomal RNA", at positions 30 to 507 of the family's 1533-position model. The record is from RNAcentral.